AUUGAACGCUGGCGGCAGGCCUAACACAUGCAAGUCGAGCGGUAACACAGGGAGCUUGCUCCUGGGUGACGAGCGGCGGACGGGUGAGUAAUGUCUGGGAAACUGCCCGAUGGAGGGGGAUAACUACUGGAAACGGUAGCUAAUACCGCAUAACGUCGCAAGACCAAAGAGGGGGACCUUCGGGCCUCUUGCCAUCGGAUGUGCCCAGAUGGGAUUAGCUAGUAGGUGGGGUAACGGCUCACCUAGGCGACGAUCCCUAGCUGGUCUGAGAGGAUGACCAGCCACACUGGAACUGAGACACGGUCCAGACUCCUACGGGAGGCAGCAGUGGGGAAUAUUGCACAAUGGGCGCAAGCCUGAUGCAGCCAUGCCGCGUGUAUGAAGAAGGCCUUCGGGUUGUAAAGUACUUUCAGCGAGGAGGAAGGCAUUGUGGUUAAUAACCACAGUGAUUGACGUUACUCGCAGAAGAAGCACCGGCUAACUCCGUGCCAGCAACCGCGGUAAUACGGAGGGUGCAAGCGUUAAUCGGAAUUACUGGGCGUAAAGCGCACGCAGGCGGUCUGUCAAGUCGGAUGUGAAAUCCCCGGGCUCAACCUGGGAACUGCAUUCGAAACUGGCAGGCUAGAGUCUUGUAGAGGGGGGUAGAAUUCCAGGUGUAGCGGUGAAAUGCGUAGAGAUCUGGAGGAAUACCGGUGGCGAAGGCGGCCCCCUGGACAAAGACUGACGCUCAGGUGCGAAAGCGUGGGGAGCAAACAGGAUUAGAUACCCUGGUAGUCCACGCCGUAAACGAUGUCGACUUGGAGGUUGUGCCCUUGAGGCGUGGCUUCCGGAGCUAACGCGUUAAGUCGACCGCCUGGGGAGUACGGCCGCAAGGUUAAAACUCAAAUGAAUUGACGGGGGCCCGCACAAGCGGUGGAGCAUGUGGUUUAAUUCGAUGCAACGCGAAGAACCUUACCUACUCUUGACAUCCACGGAAUUUGCUAGAGAUAGCUUAGUGCCUUCGGGAACCGUGAGACAGGUGCUGCAUGGCUGUCGUCAGCUCGUGUUGUGAAAUGUUGGGUUAAGUCCCGCAACGAGCGCAACCCUUAUCCUUUGUUGCCAGCGGUUCGGCCGGGAACUCAAAGGAGACUGCCAGUGAUAAACUGGAGGAAGGUGGGGAUGACGUCAAGUCAUCAUGGCCCUUACGAGUAGGGCUACACACGUGCUACAAUGGCAUAUACAAAGAGAAGCGACCUCGCGAGAGCAAGCGGACCUCAUAAAGUAUGUCGUAGUCCGGAUUGGAGUCUGCAACUCGACUCCAUGAAGUCGGAAUCGCUAGUAAUCGUAGAUCAGAAUGCUACGGUGAAUACGUUCCCGGGCCU
Molecule: ribosomal RNA, 1361 nt
Filed under: uncultured bacterium
Lineage: Bacteria
Description: bacterial SSU rRNA
Rfam family: Bacterial small subunit ribosomal RNA
Source: RNAcentral